AGUAAUGCUUGGGAAUCUAGCUUAUGGAGGGGAUAACUACGGGAAACUGUAGCUAAUACCGCGUAGAAUCGAGAGAUGAAAGUGUGGGACCUUCGGGCCACAUGCCAUAGGAUGAGCCCAAGUGGGAUUAGGUAGUCGGUGAGGUAAAGGCUCACCAAGCCGACGAUCUCUAGCUGGUCUGAGAGGAUGACCAGCCACACUGGGACUGAGACACGGCCCAG
Molecule: ribosomal RNA, 221 nt
Filed under: uncultured bacterium
Lineage: Bacteria
Description: partial 16S ribosomal RNA
Rfam family: Bacterial small subunit ribosomal RNA
Source: RNAcentral